Molecule: long non-coding RNA, 1060 nt
Organism: Esox lucius (northern pike)
Lineage: Eukaryota; Metazoa; Chordata; Actinopteri; Esociformes; Esocidae
Source: Ensembl
CCCAGAACGCCCAGUCUGGUGUGACCGCCAUGGAUUCGGCUGGGACAAAUACGAUCCACCUUAUCCUGCCUCCAAACCUGUCCACCUGCCAGCCUACCUGCCCUGCCCACGCUGCCUGUCUACCCUGCUGCCCUGUCUGCCUCGCCCUGUCUGCCUCGCUCUGCCUACCUACCAGUCCCGCCCUCACCCCUCUGGCCCUGUCUCAAUCCUUCCACCCCAACCUAUAUUAAAACACCCCUUGAGUUUCAUUGCUUGUGUCUGGAGAUGUGCACUUGGGUCCAUUAGCAGCUGCCCCCGUAACAAAUAUGAGUGGUAACAUGUUGUGAGAGAAUACCUUCUAGAGAACAAUGAUGACAUUACCCUCUCUGACUUGGAAGAUGAAUCGGAAAAAACUAUGAGGAAAUCCCAGACAUGGAAACUGUUCAAAAUGUUGUCAGAGAACCAGACAUUGCCGAUUCUUCUGAUGAAAGUGAUGGUGAAGGAACUGAGAUGUACAGUGUGGUUGUCGCAGAGGAAGUUGACCGUGUGAUGGAAUCGGUGGAAUGUCCUGUGCAAGCAGCGUACGAGAAGGAAAUUGACUAAAUAUGGAGAUGGCCAAAAAAGAAACGCUGGCUGUUCUUUCAUAAAACAACUGUCCACGGAUUACAUUUACUAACAAAGGGCAACCAUGGCAGAGAGGGAAACAUGCACAGAUUCUUCAGUAUUGAAAACCUUGAGUGUGAACUGUAACAAAAAGUCACAGCAUCAUCAAGGUCAACAGACUAAAUGCAAACAACAAAGGACUUUUUGUGUCAUCAGAGGAUAAUCAGUCAAAAUAUUCCUACAUGCAUUUGUGUAAACUGUACAACUGUAUACUCAAGGAAAACACAGGUCAAGGAAAACACAGGUCUGUCAAACAAAUGACAUCAAACAAAGUUUCACAAGUGCAAAGGUUUAUUUACAGUAAAAAAAACUAUACACACUUUAUUGAAAUAUUAAAACAUCCAUACAAAUAUAAAAACACACCUCUCAAUGCUAGCGAGCUUUGCACAUUCCCUGCUCCCACCAACGACCUGAACUU